CCCCGGCGCCCCGAGUGGUGUUCGCGAUUAUUGGGCCUAAAGCGUCCGUAGCCGGACGGGUAAAUCCUCUGUGAAAUCGUUGCGCUUAACGUAACGGCGCGCAGGGGAAACUGCUCGUCUCGAGACCGGGAAGGGUCAGAGGUAUGCCGUGGGGACUGGUAAAAUGGUAUAAUCCACGGUAGACCACCAAUGGCGAAGGCAUCUGACUGGAACGGAUCUGACGGUGAGGGACGAAAGCUGGGGGA
Molecule: ribosomal RNA, 245 nt
Filed under: uncultured archaeon
Lineage: Archaea
Description: partial 16S ribosomal RNA
Rfam family: Archaeal small subunit ribosomal RNA
Source: RNAcentral